AGUCAUUCGGGGUAACAGCACGCGGUGGGUAAAAGUACGCGGUGGUCGGAUCUCCGACAGGGGUGGGGGAGCCGAGGUCUGUGUUUGUAAAAUAGAGUGGCGCUACUGUCGCCGUUUAGGAGCCACGCGCCGCGCCGACGCAAUCUAAGUACUGGUCGCGACACGUCGCCGAAUACUUGUAGCACGCUUAUUUCGUUUAAUUUUUAUGCCACGGAAAAGUGUGCUGUAGUUAAAUGGAUAGCUCUGUGCCAAAUACCUACACCAAAAUGCCGAGAAAUUACAUAAGGAAGGCCCCUCAGCGGACCCUCAUCUCAUCUCAGAUGACCAAAUAAUGAAGGCCAAUUAUUUUGAUCUCAAAGUGUGACUAUUGCCAAUAUAAAUAAUUUAAGACAAGAUUCACAUUAUAAUAGAUACAGGGUGGAAUUUUGUAAUGCCACCUGGAGGGAAAGUACUCUUAGUAAUGUAGAGGAAUCGAACCAACUAAAAUUUGUUAAAAAUUACACCCUGUAUUUUUAUUGCAUCGAUCGUUAGGGUUAAGUUUAUGGAUGAAAUCUCUCUAACAAGCUUGCUUAAAUUAAAUGAAAGGAAAACCAUGAAAUCUUAAAUUAUUUUAAUUAUUUACAAAAAAUUGUAUGGUAUGAUAGUGAAUUUUCGUAAAAUUUUCAAAAUUCUUUGAAUGGAGUUGUCUUUGUUUUCAAAAAUUAAGGAAAGUUUUAUUUGAGUAAAAUUUUCUAUCUACAAUAUUAAGAGUACUUUCCCUCCAGGUGGCAUUAUAAAAUUCCACCCUGUUUAAUACAAAGAGUUCUUAUUUUUUUUAAUGUUAAAGUUCUUAAAAUGUUAUUUACAAGAUUAAAUAAAUAUUGAUUAUUGCCAAUCUUAA
This is a long non-coding RNA of Ostrinia nubilalis (European corn borer), 880 nucleotides long. RefSeq lists it as uncharacterized. NCBI's taxonomy places the organism in Eukaryota, Metazoa, Arthropoda, Insecta, Lepidoptera, Crambidae. The transcript has 2 exons. The record is from RefSeq and is a predicted model, not a curated record.